This 759-nucleotide ribosomal RNA is filed under the name uncultured rumen protozoa. Its description in RNAcentral is "bacterial SSU rRNA". It matches the Rfam family "Eukaryotic small subunit ribosomal RNA", at positions 69 to 866 of the family's 1831-position model. The record is from RNAcentral.
GCUCCAGCCCUCGCGGGUGCUCUGAUUACUAUUAGUAAAAAUGACACACGUAAACUGCGAAUGGCUCAUUACAACAGUUAUUGUUUAUUUGAUACAUUAAAUGGAUAACUGUAGAAAAACUAGAGCUAAUACAUGCCGAAGCCGCAAGGUUGUAUUUAUUAGAUAUUCCAAUUAGGUGAAUCAUGAUAACUUUGCAAAUCUCGUGUUUUGCCGAGAUAAAUCAUCCAAGUUUCUGCCCUAUCAUGCUUUCGAUGGUAGUGUAUUGGACUACCAUGGCUCCACUAGGUUAACAGGGAAUUAGGGUUCUAUUCUGGAGAAGGAGCCUGAGACACGGCUACUACAUCUACGGAAGGCAGCAGGCGCGUAAAUUACCCAAUCCUGACUCAGGGAGGUGGUGACAAGAUAUAACAACGCAAUUUCAUUGUGAUUGUAGUGAGGGUAUUCCAAACCGAACCACUAGUACGAUUAGAGGGCAAGUCUGGUGCCAGCAGCCGCGGUAAUUCAGCUCUAAUAGCGUAUAUAAAGUUGCUGCAGUAAAAGCUCGUAGUGGAUUCAAGAUGUGUACUCUCUCGAGUAUGCACCUACUAGUCUUGACUGUACUGGAGAAUAAAUGUUAAGCAGCUAUGCAGAACAUACAUGAUACGAUGUAUGACUGUUAUUAGUUAAUAAAAGUGGGCUAUUAUUGCAAGAAUUGUUUAAACUGGAAUCCGGUUCACAAGGACACUGGCCUAUAACGGGAGAACCUAAACUGGGUAUAAG